This 27-nucleotide non-coding RNA is filed under the name Drosophila melanogaster (fruit fly). RNAcentral also lists the same sequence under 1 other name. Lineage: Eukaryota; Metazoa; Arthropoda; Insecta; Diptera; Drosophilidae. The record is from RNAcentral.
GUAGGUGAUCCUGCGGAAGGAUCAUUG